This 1378-nucleotide ribosomal RNA is filed under the name uncultured bacterium. Its description in RNAcentral is "bacterial SSU rRNA". It matches the Rfam family "Bacterial small subunit ribosomal RNA", at positions 29 to 1395 of the family's 1533-position model. The record is from RNAcentral.
UUGAACGCUGGCGGUAUGCUUAACACAUGCAAGUCGAACGGAAACGAUACUAGCUUGCUAGUAGGCGUCGAGUGGCGGACGGGUGAGUAACGCGUAGGAAUCUGCCUGAUAGUGGGGGAUAGCCCGAAGAAAUUCGGAUUAAUACCGCAUAAUCUAUUCGUAGUAAAGUGGGGGACUUUCGAGCCUCACGCUAUCAGAUGAGCCUGCGUAAGAUUAGCUUGUUGGUAGGGUAAAAGCCUACCAAGGCGACGAUCUUUAGCUGGUCUGAGAGGAUGAUCAGCCACAUCGGGACUGAGACACGGCCCGAACUCCUACGGGAGGCAGCAGUGGGGAAUAUUGGACAAUGGGGGCAACCCUGAUCCAGCAAUACCGCGUGUGUGAAGAAGGCCUGAGGGUUGUAAAGCACUUUCAAUUGUGAAGAAAAGUUAGCGGUUAAUAACCGUUAGCCUUGACGUUAACUUUAGAAGAAGCACCGGCUAACUCCGUGCCAGCAGCCGCGGUAAUACGGAGGGUGCAAGCGUUAAUCGGAAUUACUGGGCGUAAAGCGUGCGUAGGCGGUUUAUUAAGUCAGAUGUGAAAGCCCCGGGCUUAACCUGGGAACUGCAUUUGAAACUGGUCAACUAGAGUAUGGUAGAGGAAAGUGGAAUUUCUGGUGUAGCGGUGAAAUGCGUAGAUAUCAGAAAGGAACAUCAAUGGCGAAGGCAGCUUUCUGGACCAAUACUGACGCUGAGGUACGAAAGCGUGGGUAGCAAACAGGAUUAGAUACCCUGGUAGUCCACGCCGUAAACGAUGAUAACUAGCCGUUUGGGGGGGAUUUACCCUUUAGUGGCGAAGCUAACGCGUUAAGUUAUCCGCCUGGGGAGUACGGCCGCAAGGUUAAAACUCAAAGGAAUUGACGGGGACCCGCACAAGCGGUGGAGCAUGUGGUUUAAUUCGAUGCAACGCGAAGAACCUUACCUGGUCUUGACAUCCUGCGAACUUUCUAGAAAUAGAUUGGUGCCUUCGGGAACGCAGUGACAGGUGCUGCAUGGCUGUCGUCAGCUCGUGUCGUGAGAUGUUGGGUUAAGUCCCGUAACGAGCGCAACCCCUAUCCUUAUUUGCCAGCACAUCAUGGUGGGAACUAUAAGGAGACUGCCGGUGAUAAACCGGAGGAAGGCGGGGACGACGUCAAGUCAUCAUGGCCCUUACGACCAGGGCUACACACGUGCUACAAUGGGAAGGACAAAGAGCCGCGAAGCCGCGAGGUGUAGCUAAUCUCAUAAACCUUUUCGUAGUCCGGAUUGGAGUCUGCAACUCGACUCCAUGAAGUCGGAAUCGCUAGUAAUCGUAGAUCAGAAUGCUACGGUGAAUACGUUCCCGGGUCUUGUACUCACCGCCC